AAUAAACGCUGGCGGCAUGCCUAACACAUGCAAGUCGAACGAAGGCUUCGGCCUUAGUGGCGCACGGGUGCGUAACGCGUGGGAAUCUGCCCUCAGGUUCGGAAUAACAGCGAGAAAUUGCUGCUAAUACCGGAUGAUAUCGCGAGAUCAAAGAUUUAUCGCCUGAGGAUGAGCCCGCGUAGGAUUAGCUAGUUGGUGAGGUAAGGGCGCACCAAGGCGACGAUCCUUAGCUGGUCUGAGAGGAUGAUCAGCCACACUGGGACUGAGACACGGCCCAGACUCCUACGGGAGGCAGCAGUGGGGAAUAUUGGACAAUGGGCGAAAGCCUGAUCCAGCAAUGCCGCGUGAGUGAUGAAGGCCUUAGGGUUGUAAAGCUCUUUUACCCGGGAUGAUAAUGACAGUACCGGGAGAAUAAGCUCCGGCUAACUCCGUGCCAGCCGCCGCCGUAA
Molecule: ribosomal RNA, 449 nt
Filed under: uncultured bacterium
Lineage: Bacteria
Description: partial 16S ribosomal RNA
Rfam family: Bacterial small subunit ribosomal RNA
Source: RNAcentral